This is a long non-coding RNA of Notolabrus celidotus (New Zealand spotty), 2392 nucleotides long. RefSeq lists it as uncharacterized. The transcript has 5 exons. Lineage: Eukaryota; Metazoa; Chordata; Actinopteri; Labriformes; Labridae. The record is from RefSeq and is a predicted model, not a curated record.
GAUGUCUUCUUUCUGAUAAACACACUAUGUAUGUUUUCAAUGCCUCAUGCUCCAGGGAGCUCAGUUUUGUCCAGCCUUCCUUUCAGAGUCCUGUUCCUACUUGUCUUCUGCUCCUUCCAUCCCACGCCUGUCUGAUUCCCUCACUGAAAGAGGAACUUCAAAUUCUUUCAAAAACCAGGGACCUGCAAUACAUCACGCAGACACCUUGAUGCACAUACAACAAAACCUUCAACUCCACAGCCUGUGUUUUAACACGCUAGGUCUGUAUUCUUUGCUCUGGUAACACCCCCCAAUCUUAGCAGUCAAGAGUUUCCUCCCUUCUGUAAACAUGUCCACCUCCCUCCCUCCUCCUCAAGCAAGAGGCAUCGACUUCAGCCUGCCCACCUGUGGAGAGACUAAGUGCAACAGCCGUGGUACCUGCGUGAUUCCUCCUGGUGGGGGGGCAGACCUGGUGUGUGAAUGUGCGCUUGGUUACAGGGGAGAAUUCUGUGACGGUACAGUCAACGGGUCGUUGAGUGUGCCCCUGACCCUGAGUGUGCUGGCCAUCAUCUUCGGGCUGCUGAUCAUAGCUUUUAUUGUUGCCAAGAUGAGGCAGAAGCAAAAGAAGAGGAACAGGAAACUUCUUGCAGCCAAACAUGGCUACAACGUUGCUGUGUGAUGUGGAUAAAUCUUCAUUAUACCUGAGGUCAGCCAUGAGACUGUGAACAGUGACCCCAGUGAGCUUCCAUCAGCAUCCUUCUGCAGCACGCUUACAGAGCAGUUUGUCAACUGUUGAGAGAAUUUUUGUUUGGUCGGACGUCCGACUGAUGCUGUCGUCCAGAAACUCAAAUACUGAACAAAUGGACUGAGACAUAACUUUACUACAGUUCAAAGUAUGACUGUACAGUUUAUCCCAAAGACAAUUUUUUGAGGAUAUAUGCAUGUAUAUCAUAGAGCUCUUAAGUAUGUAAUAGAUAACUGACUGACAGCACCUUUACAGACAUGUGUUUCAUACUGGCAUUUUAUGCUGAGUUAUAAGUCUCUACCUAAAGAGCACAGCAGAGAUGUCAUGCAGCAAAAAACACAUCUUUGUUCACCACACAUUUAGGAAUAACAGUUAAAUGUAAUAUAAAAAGUGUAAAUAUAAAAAAAAGCGCCUUGCAUAUGAGCUUUGUUACUGGCAUUAUUAGCUUAUUAGAGCAAAACAACUAUGAUAUUUUAAGUGCAUUCUUUACACUACUAGCUCACUGUUUUAAUGCAAUGCAACUGCAAUUCACUGAUUAUUUGUAUGUACGUCUGCUGUAAUAGUCAUAGUGUUAUUUAUAGAAUUGUAAUGACUUUUUGUGGCUUUGCCAGUGUUACUGGUUUAGAUAUGACUGCUCACCUGCUGCUGAUUUGUUGCUAAUCCAGAGAGGAUCUGAAUUUGGUAGACCAAAUGAUCCACUGAAUAUUAAGUGACAGGAUCUCUCUUCACUCUCUGUCAAAAUGUUCUUUCUUGUUUACAUGUCCUUUCAGCAAAAUGUGGUUAUAUGGAAAAUUGCACUGCUUAGGCUGGCUACAGAAAAAUAUCCAAAUGUUCACUUUUUAACGCAGGAGUUACUUCUUUUAAUCUCAGAGAAAGAGACUGCUUCAGUAGAAUUGAAUGAUUCUUUCAAACAUGUCUACUUGCUGCAAAAACUGAUUUCCUAGGUUCACAGGUGUAAAACCAAAAGUGGAUACUUAAUUCAGAUGUUUAGACAGCAAACACUUUACAUAUUGGAAAAUUAAAUAUCAAUAGAAUUCUUUUUUCCUUCAUUUUUUUUCUCUCUUCUUAGUUUUUUUUUUUUGUUUGUUUACAUUUUCACAAAUUGCUCAUAUCAAGACAUUUCAUCAGCUCCCAGUCAAAAUAUAUUCCAUGUAUGUGCACUUUCAUAUUCAAGUAAGUCAGCUUCCACAGAACUGAUCACAACUGAAAAAGUACAGAAUUUAUACAGACUUCAAAGAUCACUUGUGCUGUUGUUUGCCUAUCACAAUGUGCACUUUGACUGGUCUAUGUGCUUUUUUUAUUUUGAACCUAGAGCUCAGGUUGUAGAUUGAUACCACACGUAUUUAGUACACUAAACUAUAUACUUUGACAUGUGGUACUAUAUGGUACAAUAUGGGCCUGUCUAGCUUUGAAUACUACAAGAUCCAAGCUUAUUCUGUGUAAUUUGGUCCUGACUACAUAUGCAUAUUGUUGUAUUGUUUCUGUCUUUUUCACACUGCUGACUGAAAUGUUUUUUACACUAUUUUUUACACUAUUUUUGAAUACUAACAUUUGCAAGAUGUAUAACCUGUGUUAGUCUUCUGUUAAGGAAUUUUGUUAACUACAUUUAUAUACUAUGAAAGUGUUUUUAUGUUGCUGUAUGGCAUUAAACUUAACUACAGAUCAUCA